GGAGGGAUCAUUUCUGGAAGAGCAGUUUUGCUCUGAAGGAGUUCCCUCCUGAAAAUAUACAAUCUUUGUGGUGGAUCACUUGGGUACUGUGACGAUGAAGAACGUAGCAAGCCGCGUUAUUUAGUGCGACAUGCAAAGCUCGUGAAGCAUCGAACCGUCGAACAUACACACAACUGCUGAGUACUUGUACUAGGCAGUGCUUGCUCGAGAGUGUCAGCUUUUAUAUAUUCUGAACAAGGAAUGCUAAUUGAGGGAUGACAGGUUGUGAUGGGUCUUGACAGGUCUUGAUGGCCUUGACAGGUCUUGAUGUGUUGUUAGGUGUGACUUGGACUUCAUAUCGCAUCUCCUUGUUUAUCGUAUAAUACCUCGGUAUUAUGAUGAAAAAUUACUUUUUCAUUUCUGACCUCUCCUGUGAGAGAUUACCUACUGAAUUUAAGCAUAUUAGUAAGUAGAGGAAAAGAAAUCAAAAGAGAUUCCCUUAGUAGCGGCGAGUGAAACGGGAAUAGUCCAUCCUGAAAUCUGGCGCAAGCUGGAUGUUGUGGGGUGAAGGAUAUUGUCCUUCGUAUUGAUAACUGCCGAAUCUUCCUGGAAAGGAGAACCAAAGAGGGUGAAAGUCCUGUACGGUGGUUUGAGAUAUGGUCGGAUAAUGUUCUAAGAGUAGCAUUCUUUUAAAGUAGAAUGUGAAUAUAGGUGAUGAAUUUCAUCUAAGACUAAAUAUUAACACAGUAUACCGAUAGCAAACAAGUACUGAGAAGGAAAGUUGAAAAGAUCCCUGGAGAGGGGCUGAAAAAUAUGUGAAACCACUGAGUGAACAAA
Molecule: unclassified non-coding RNA, 816 nt
Filed under: Metazoa environmental sample
Lineage: Eukaryota; Metazoa
Description: sequence contains 18S rRNA gene, ITS1, 5.8S rRNA gene, ITS2, 28S rRNA gene
Rfam family: Eukaryotic large subunit ribosomal RNA (bases 401-816)
Source: RNAcentral